Harpia harpyja (harpy eagle) is the source of this 3155-nucleotide long non-coding RNA. RefSeq lists it as uncharacterized. Lineage: Eukaryota; Metazoa; Chordata; Aves; Accipitriformes; Accipitridae. The record is from RefSeq and is a predicted model, not a curated record. The transcript is spliced from 2 exons.
CCAUGAGGUGGUGAGUGGUCCUUUGCAGAGGUGUGCUGGCAGUGGGGCCAGCACGAGGCAGCUGGGACCUCAGACAUCUUGACAGAGGCCUUGGUGACAGCCAGCAUCUCCUGGGACCUGCUGAGUUCAGAACCUCCUUUCAUUUGGCAGCAGUAUUUUGCCUUUCACAGGGGCUGAGCUUCCUGCACCAUCUUAUCUGCUAAUUGGGAAAGAAAAUUCAAGAUGGUGGUGCUGGAGUGUGAAACUGCUGACUUCUUCCACAAAAUCAGAAGUCUGAUGCGUUACUACAGUAGUGCCAUUGCCAGAUGGGAGGGAAAAUGAUGUUUGAAGACCUGACGUCUUCCUAUAUUAAAGCCUUCCAUCGUCUAGGGUCUUGAAAGAAAACCACAGCUGCCUUCCCCUUUUGUCUAAUGGGGUUUGUGGGCUCUGGGACCACCAAGAGGACUGAGCUCCUGAAGAGGACCCAGGGCCGUGUAUGGGCAUCUGGUUGCCCCAAGCUGCUCAGCUGUGGUGAGCCAGAUACCCUGUGCUCGUGAAUGACACUUAUGGCACUCCCAGGUAGUAGUUAUGUCUGUCUUCUACAAGAAGCGAAGCAGGCCUGCCCAGGAGAUUUACCCAGGAGACUAGGUAGAGGAGGGGGAGAUUGCUGCUUCUUCUAACCUGCUCCCUGCUGACAGGACUACAGCAGGGACUGCCUUGCCAUUUAAUAGGCGGCAUUGAGCAACAUAUAACGAUUCAGGAGAAAUGGAGACAGUUUGACUUGUACCAUCAUUUAUUCUGAGCUGCAGUGACAUGUUGAGGGAUGCCAUUCAAAGAUGCUGUGUUGAAAGGGGCAGAUGCGAGAAUAAUCACAAACCAGAAGAGGCUGAAUGUUCUGCCCAGCUGCUGAGACCCACAUGGAGCAUAAUUUCAAAUGGUCUCUGUGCUUCUUGGUAUUUGGCUAAGAGUGAAAACAGCGUCUUGUAAUCUUAUUCUCUUUCUUGCCAAUCAUAUCACCCUGUUCAAGGCCUUUUCUAGAAAUUAGGUCUCUGCAGGAAAUGGAUAAUGAGAUCUGUUUAACCUUUCGGCAGAGCAGAAGCUAUGGAAGCACAGUUAAGGGGAAUGAGCUUUAGCUUAAAAGGAAGCCAGCUGCUAAAUAGCAAACCAAAACAGCCAAUUAAUAUCCAUAGCAGAAUGAGGCAAUAUAGUGGGAGAAAAUAAUUGGAGGACGUGAACACUCAUUUGCCAAGAUUUGGGGCACUGUUGCUAAAUGGACUAUCAAUAUUUUUGCAGCCUGGCAACAGUUAGUGUCAGAUCAAUGCUCACUGGUGUAAGAAGGGUCUUUCUGUCAGCUAUCAUGGGAGAAGUCAGAGGCAGUGAUCCUGCAAAUGGUGCUGAGGCUUGUACGAGUUAGUGUCCUGCGUACUGCUGUGAAAGCAUCCCUGACUCGUCCCACACUGCAGUGGUGCCAGCAGGUGGGGGGGAAACCAGUAACCCUGGGCCACAGACAGGGGCCAGAUGAUUUGCCAUUAGUGGACAGUCCUGGAGUUUUUUGUGUGAAAUACAAGUGGACCACUAGUAAUAAAAGAUUUUCUUCAUGGUACAGGUCUGAAGUCUACUGCUUACCCAGGUUAUGUGAGCAGCCACGUUAGGUUCAUGGCAGACUGCCCUGAUCUGGAUAAGUCACCAGUCUGGUUUUCCUUUACCCAGACCUGCUUGCAUUCACAAUCUGCACUCGCCAAACCUGGAAGGUAAUGUUUUACAUCCACUUCACAGGCAGAGGGAGAGCCAGGUGUUGUGCAAGCAGGGCAAGGCCAUGGAGAGGCAAGUUAAGCUGCCAGUUCUCCAGGUACCUAAUCCAACCAAGGUCAGGGACCUGCAUGUAGGCAGAAGUGUCUGCAGGACUGCGAUCGCAGGGGAAAAGGAGUGUCCUUUGAAUACCCGUGCUGUGCCUUACCUGUUCUGCUCAGGUCCUCCUUUCCCAGGGCUGAGCUCAGCCUCGCCUGCCUCCUCUUUGGGUCUGGCCCAUCACCUCCCUUCCCAAAUACGCUCAGGUGGAUAUCUGGUUGGCCUUACUGCCAGGAGUAGUUUAACUUAGGUGAGAUGAUUUGCUAUGAGAAAGCUGGGUGCGUGCUUCCAGCUCUCCUGGAUCAGAGUACAGAACAAGCACACAAUGUUAAGCCAUGAGUUAACAUGACAUCUGAAUGCAAAUAUUUGUCUUUAUAGAGUUCAUGAAGAAAGCAGCUCUGUUCUACAGCAAUUCCCAUGAAAGUUAAGGCGUACUUUUUAUUCCUGUAUUAUAAACUCAAGUUCACAAUAAUUUGUCAUUAUUCUCUGGAAAUCUUGAGAAGUUUCCUGUUUCACAGGCUGUGUAGCAAUGGGAAAUGAGACUUCUAAUAGAAAGCUUGGUAACUUAGUUUGGACUAGCUCUUGUUUUGUGAAGGGUAUAAAAAAACCACCAUUGUAUGAACCUUUUGCUGCAUAUUUGUCGGGAUCGGAUCAUGUCUAAAGAAACUUUGCUCUCACUGAGAUCAAAGGGGAACGCUUUCCCUUCUCCAUUCUUUUAAAUCACUACACUGCUAAAACUAAUCUAUUCCUGUCAAUUGUUUGGAAGGCAGUUGAACUCAUUUCUCAUUACAGCCCAUUAUAAAUCACUCCUCAUUUCAAUCUCAUUUAGCUAAUUCAGUCAUCAAAGGAUUGCAGGAGGCAUAGAGUAUUUUACUGAUGCAUUUAGCUCUUCACAGAAUUAUGAAAAGUACUGAACUUCUUAGGUCUAUCUAUUUGCAGAUGGCUCUUGUGAUGCAGGGAAAGCGUUCAUUCCCUUCCGUGGAAGGCAGAACCAUUAAAAAAGAAAAUCCAAGCAGCGAGGGACUCUCUCUAGGCUUGUGUGGGAGAUUGAUGAACGAUCUGACUUGUUUUCAUGUAACAUGUUAAAACUUUCAUCUCUUGACACCAUGCUGAAUUUUUCAGGACUUCACCAAAUUAAUUUUAAUUUACAGAGCUGACUGAAGGAAUUGAGGUCUGAUUAAAAAAUGGCAGGAAAAGUAUCAAGUAAUUCUGAAGUUGCUUCUAUUUAACACUUCAAAUGUUAAAUAAGCAAGGAAUUAUAUGAUCUAAGGAAGAACAGUCCCUGUAACAGAUGUUAAUGGACAAUAAAUGAGAUGAAUGUAAUUAUG